AAUCAGACAUGUGCAAUAUUGAGUGCUACAUGGGUCGGAACUACGCUGUGAACAUUUCUUUGCUCUCAGAUAAAAAGUUCUGUGAGGAACAUUAGACUUCACUGCAUUUACCAUUUGCCAAGAGUUUCCUAGGAUUCAGUUAUUUCGCACCAAGUUGUGGACAUUGAAUUUCGUACCUGCAGGAUUAUCUUUUUUUUCUUUAAAUACAAAUUCUUUCCAUUUGCAUUAAAUCUUUUAUCAAGACACAAACCGGAUUUUACAAUGGUUUAUAUUGUUCAAACAGAACUGCCAAACUUGAUGGCAUAUAAGACUGUGCUAUCCGGAAUGCAGAAACUACCACAACUCUGGUAUCCCCGGUCAUUCUCAGCAGAUAAUUUAUUUGCUAUGCAAAAUAAGAAAGAUGUGAUACCAAAAGUGUCAUCUGUAGGGGAAGAUCUCACCUAUUUGGAGAGAGAUCGCUCAAUCACCACAGACCCAACGGAGAGCAAGAAGAGAAGGACAAUAAAGUUAAUACGAACAAAUUCAUCAUGGGGCUUCACCUUACAGACAUAUGGUAUACGACAUAAGAAAAAUAAUGAAAUUGAAAUCACAACUUAUGUAGACUAUGUGGAAAUCGACAAGCCAGCCUGGAUUGCAGGGAUGCGACAAGGUGAUGUUAUCUUAUCUGUGAACGGUGAUAGUGUUGAGCAAGCAACACAUCAACAACUGGUAGAGAAGAUCAAAUCUUGCGCUCGCUACAUGAGGUUGGUUGUCCUUUUUGAAGAUUGUUGCAGGAAAGUAGAAUUACAUGACCGCUAUAUCAAACUAAAGAAUAUUCUCAGAGAGAAAAAACGGGAACUGAAAUUACUAAAUGAACAAGAACAAAAUAUUCUUCAAGGUUUGUCAAGAACAGAUGGAGCUCGCUUAAGUUGUCGCAGUUCAGCCAGUUCUUUGGACAGUGCUUUUGACCAGUACAGUUUAAUUCGACCAUGUUCUAUGAACAAUCUUCCAAACAUCUGCCAUUUUUCUUAUACCCCUAUUUCAUGCGAUACCGAUGCCAACAACAGCCAUGGUAGUGAUACCUCAGAGCUUGCAAGCAUUUUGGAAAGAGCUGGUGUCGAUUCAGAUUCUGACACCUGCAGUAAUUUUUCAGUGGCAGCAAGCACAGAUACUCAAGAAUGUCUUUCAGUGGUUCUUUCAACUGAAGAAUCAGCAUGUUGUAAACCAAAAACUGUUGCUGACAAUGAACAAUUUUCUACUGCUGAGGAGGACAGUGAGUUAGAACUCAAGAACUGCAGUACCAACUGUUUAAAUAAAAGCCUUUUCCCCCAGUCAGACAGUGAUCCUCCUAAUGAACACAUCAACCAGAAAGAUGAAGUUACUCGAUUAUGAAAUGACACAAAAAUCUGAAAAUAAUCAAAAGCUUUGAAUUUUUGUGUUAUUAUUAUUAUUAUUAUUAUCAUUAUUAUUAUUAUUAUUUUUCACAUCUGUUCUUUCGUUUAAAAUGUGCUUCAAUACAUUUGGAUUAGCAGAAUUGUUUGAGCAGUGAACAAAUGCCAUGUGGCAUUUGUUCCAGCUCUUUACAUUCUGAGUUCAUCCUUUCGGGGGUUGAUGAAUUAUGAAGAACCAGUCAAGUACUGGGGUUGAUAUAAGAGACUAACCCAUACCUUAAAAUUUCUGGCCUUGUGCCUACCAUGCACACAAACAAACACAAACACACACUUCACAUAAAUUCAUAAACGAUACACAGAAGGAAUACAUAUGCUGAUCCAACAUAUCUCUGAAGAUUUCGCUUACACGGCAAUACAAGGGCAAGAGAAUGGCAGAAUUGUUAGAGUGACAGACAGCAAAAAGCCUUGUGGUAUUUAGUUGCAAACCUUUAUGUUCUGAGUUCAAAUCCUGCUGAGGUCAGCUUUGCCUUUUAUCUUUCUGAGGUUGAUAAUAAAAUAAGUAUUGGUUGAAGAGUACUGGGGGUGAGCUAAUCAACUGUAGCCAGCUCCUAAAUGUUGAGGCCUUCAGUAAACAUGAUCAUAGCUUUUCAUUAUAAAUGAAAGACUAUAACAAUGGAAAGAAAUGUAUCAGUGAUAUUUCAUAUACCAUACAUACAUACACACACACAUACACAUAUAUAUUCGUGUAUGUAUGUGCGUGUGUUUACAUCAUCAUUAUUUAACGUCCACUUUUUCAUGAUCACAUAGGUCAAACGGAAUUUCUCGAGGUAGAUUUUUCUAUGACCAGAUGUCCUUCCUGUCACAAACUUUCACCUGCUUCCAAGCAAGGUAAUAUCUCCCUAAUGGCCAGACAUGUUUCUCAUGGAAGACAGGAAAUGAACAAUACUGUUCGUAUGACAGUGAUGUGCACUUACAACCAUGAUGCCAUAACAUGGAUGCACACACAUAUAUACACACACACAUAUUUAUGACAGGCUUUUUUCAGUUUCUGUCUGCCAAAUGCACUCACAAGGCUUCGGUUAGCCUGGGCUUACUAGAAGAUGCUUACCCAAGGUAUCACAUAGUUGGACUUGAUCUAUGACUCACAGUUGGGAAGCAAGCUUCUUAAUCACAAGGCCGCAUGUGCGCAUGUAUGUUUGCGUGAAAAUUAAGGAAAACCUUAUCAUUUUGUAAUUUGUUCUUAUGUCCUCAACCCAUCACCUUUAUAGCAGCAAAAGAAACCAUGGUCACCGUCAUCAUUAUUAUUUUUAUUAUGAUAAUUAUAUAUUAUUAUUAUUGACUUGACAGAACUGUUAGGGCAUUUGUUCAUACUCUUUAUGUUUUGAGUUCAAAUCCUCCUGGGUCCACUUUGCCUUUCACUUUUUCAGGGUCGAUAAAAUAAGGUACCAGUUAAGCACUAGGGCUGAUUUAAUUGACUUAACCCUUCAAAAUAUUAGGCCUUAUAUUUAGAUUACAAACAUUAUUAUUAUUAUUAUUAUUAUUAUUAUUAUUGAUGGAUUAGCAAAAUCGUUUGUGUCAGACAAAAUUCUUGCAGCAUUUCUUCUGGCGCUUUACGUUCUGAGUUCAGGUCCUACCUAGGUCAACUUUUCCUUUCAUCCCUUCCGGCUUGAUAAAAUAAAAUACCAGUCAAGUACCGGAGGGGUGGGUGUGUCAUAGAAGUUGACUCACCCCCUCCUGCAAAAACUGCUGGCUUUUUGCCAUAAUUUGAAACAAUUACUAUUAUUAUUAUUAUUAUUAUUAUUACCUUGUGGUGAAUUGGUACAGUGUUGCACAAAAUGCCUCAAGGUAUUUAGGUGUAUUCCUUUUAGUUCUGAGUUCAAAUCCUGCCAUAGUCAAUAUGUCCUGCCAUGCUUCCAGAGUCGAUGAAGAUGUACUAGUCAAGUACUGAAGCUGAUAAUCGACUAUCUCCUUCCCACUACACACACACCUAAAUAUGAGGCCCUUGUGCCUAUGUUAGAAAACCUCAUUAUUAUUAUUACCCUUCAUCUAAUCAAUAAAAUAAUGAUAUGCAUUAUUUUUCCUUACUUUUUUAUAUAUUCUGUAUAUACACCCACUUUUUCAUCAUACAAAUACUCUUUCCACGCAUACAUAAACAAGAACUUAGAUAAAAAGGAAAAAGAAAAAAAACAUGCCAUCCUUCUUUGUCUUAUCAAACACCUCCCACUAUGAAAAAAAAAAAAAUAAGUGUGGCAGUAAGUGAAUGAAUGUGAUAACUGUUGAUUCUGUAUAUUUCUAAAGACUAAUAUUUCCAAUAACCUGUUAGAUUUGAUCAAAUUAAACUAGCCUGCUCUUUCAGGCAUCUCACAUGGAAUAUAUAUGGAAAAGAAAUAAAAAUCAAAACCUUGGGGGUUAUCUCUCUAUUCUUUGACUAUCUAUGGAAGAGGGCAUGAUAAAACUUUUUUUUUAUUUUUUAUUUCAGAAAUAAAAUUGUGAUUCUUUUGAAACUUCUUUGAAUCAUAAAAAAG
Molecule: unclassified non-coding RNA, 3895 nt
Filed under: Octopus sinensis (East Asian common octopus)
Lineage: Eukaryota; Metazoa; Mollusca; Cephalopoda; Octopoda; Octopodidae
Description: general receptor for phosphoinositides 1-associated scaffold protein-like, transcript variant X6
Source: RNAcentral